UGUACGCAUGUACUCCAUUACACCACAAAAAUAAAUCAAGAUAAAUUUGUUGGUUACUUAGCAUUCAAGUUUAAGGGUAAGAAGCAUUUCCAGGAGCUGAAGUGGGAUAAAAAGAUGGAUUGCACUGGGCAUUUUUAUCCUUGCUGCUCUCAUUGUCUUCACGUCUGUACCAGUAUCAGGAGCAAACAAUGAGGACCCAAAGUACUACACUGUACAUCAAACAGAUACACAGGCCUGAGUUGCAGCAGAAUAGGAUGAAAGCUGUAAAUACAUUGAAAAGAACUGGCUGUUGCUUUUCAUUUCGUGAAAAUAAACCACAUUUUGAAAUAACCACGUACUACUACACCAGUGAUAGAUGUUUCAUUAAAGCAGUUGUACUCAUUGCAAAGAAUGGCAGAAAGAUUUGUGUCCGUAAGGAUGCCCCAUGGAUUGACAAAUACAUCAAGAAUUAAUAAGAUGAGCCUAGAUACAGCAGUACUACACCAUUCUUUUCAAGUAGUGCUUUUGCAGAACUGAACAUUCUGUAAUAUCACUCAGUCAGCCUACUUUUUUGCAGCUGAUCCAUGAUUUUCUGUUAAACUAUUAUUUAGACGGUGCAUGAUUAACUGGUAUACAAAAGUUGCUCUGGAAUCCUGAAAAUGAAAACACAGAAAUGUCAGCACCCUAAGGUUUUUCUUGGCAUUCAGAUAAAUAUCCACAAGAUGACAAAAGGAGUAUAAUUUUUAUUGAAUAAUGAGGAUAUUGGAGCUGCUGUAGUCCAACUUGUGAAAAAGAAUACACAGUUUGUAUGGGUCUACAUGGACAAGCCAUCAGAGCCUUUUUCUUCUGUACUCUUCCUGUUAUGCAGCUGUACAGUUACAAUAUUAUUAAUAUUAUUACAAUGUUACACAUCAUGUUUCAGUAACAUGAAGCAUGUGCAUGAAGUAGUAGAAAAAUAUAAGUAUCCUUUUCAGUACUGAUACUAUGUAGAGGCAUGCCAUGUGGCUAAUUGUUCCAAAAAUCUUAGCCAAAUAUGCCAGCCAGUUUCCACAAACUGUAUUUCAUUACAUAAACACACAGUCUAACACGUACAAAAGUAUACACACAUACUGUUAUGUUCUUUAAUGCAACUCAGAGUACAAUAAAGUUAUUCCUGUCAAAGGUUGAUAGGUCAACAAGGAAUAUCAUAUCUUACCACUGUAAUAAAUAUUUACUUUAAA
RNA transcript from Protopterus annectens (West African lungfish), 1199 nucleotides. It is a transcript of the gene named C-C motif chemokine 4-like, with no coding region annotated. Lineage: Eukaryota; Metazoa; Chordata; Ceratodontiformes; Protopteridae. The transcript is spliced from 4 exons. The record is from RefSeq and is a predicted model, not a curated record.